Polypterus senegalus (gray bichir) is the source of this 221-nucleotide long non-coding RNA. RefSeq lists it as uncharacterized. NCBI's taxonomy places the organism in Eukaryota, Metazoa, Chordata, Cladistia, Polypteriformes, Polypteridae. The record is from RefSeq and is a predicted model, not a curated record. The transcript is spliced from 3 exons.
GUGGCACAUACUGUAGAUGGCAACCACAAGCUGAUCAGUGAAACAAUUUGGCUUACCAUCUAGAGUUUGAUCAGACAAGGGUGGAGAACUUGUUGGUGUAGCAGAACUCAUGGUUCAGAGAAGAGGAGUCAAUAGGAAUUUACACAUCGCAGGUAGAAGCGUACACAACCAAAGAAUUGAGAGGAUGUGGAGAGAUGUGUGAGCAUGUACUUGACCUUUUC